CCUCCCCAUUCUACAUGGUGUUCUGUUGCUGGGUAAUUGCUGUCAAUUAUUUCCUGGAGACAUGAUUAGCUUCCUAGGGUUGUCACGCCCAGUGGGUCUGCAAUCAUUUACUUGCCUUUUUCCCUCGAGCUCUCUCUGCCAACUCUGGCCAAAUCACAUCUGAAAGCUUAUUAAGACAUCCAUUCAGCUCACAAUGUCGUGGCUUCCUCCUAGUCUGCUCGUCACAGCUUCUGAAAGUCUUAGGGCUUCAGGUUUUGUCAGACUGCUCCCUUCUGCCGGCAGAGGACCUGUAACACUGCCCUAUCGAAGAGUCAGGGAAUAAUUCACAAAUGGGAGGAAUGCUUUUGAAUGAGAGAAAUGAAGUCUGAACUCUGCCAGCAGUAAUGCCAGGAGAAGAGAGGGAUGUGCAUGUUGUAAGGGAGGGAGAACGAAGGAGGGGUCAAGAUCUAUAAUGAACCACCUUUCUGGUGACAACAGUCCACCCUCCUUGGCAGAGAGUUCCAGCACAGCGACUGCAGCCGCACGGGAGACAAGAGGCUGGGAGAGCAGCUGUUUCAGUGUUUAAGAAAGGCCAUGUGAAUACAGAGCAAGAAAAUGGCCACCUGCAAGCCAGGAAGAAAGUCCUCACCAAAACCCAAACCCUCCUGGACCUUGAUCUUGAACUUCCAGGCUCGAGAACUGUGAGAAAAUAAAUUUCUAUUAUUUAAGCCACUCAAUCUAUUGUAUCUUGUUAUGGCAGCCUGAGCUAAGACAGCUCCCCUCAUGGUGGAAUUGCUGGCAUGGACUCAAGAUCAAUAUUCCUACUUAGACUAAACUCCUUGAGGACAGGAAUUCUGUUUUGGUUAUCUUGUAUUCCAGUACCUGGCAUGGUUCCUAGAACAUAGCUCGUCUUUAAUGUGUGUUAUGUGGAUGUCAGAAAAAACUAAUAACUAAUUGCUUUCCCUAGUCAUUAACUGGUCUUCAGGAGCCUGUAGAUCCCAUGAGAAAUAGAGAAGUGUCACCAAGUCAGCAAACCUUUUUCUCCUUCCCCCACAGAUGAGGCAGGCUAUGGCUCCCGAACCUCCAAGAGAACUAAACGGAUGUAGUCCUUCUCCUGUCUCCCUCCCUCCCCAAAAUAGAGGACCACAGCUGCUGGGAGAAGAAUUACCAGCCUCAAGACAGACCCGACCCAGUGACACAGGUCUGUCAGCACCCCAAGGACUGGACAGCGCCACAGCCCCUCCAGGAAUUUUCUUCUCCCUACCCUCAACCCCUGUUGGGUAAAACCACAAACACUAAAGACAAACCAAAAGAAGCAAUAUCACAUUAUAAUAAAACCAAUCCCCACACAUUAGUCUACCUUCCAUGCAUACAUUUCUCCCUCCCACUUGUUAAAUCGCUUUGAUCAGGCUUCUUUCUGCCCCCAAUUCUCACUAAACUGUUGAUGUUGAAGACUGUGGGCACAAAGAACUAUAGAAUCAAGGAGAGGAUUCUUUCUUGCUUAGUGUGCUAUGGGUGAAAGGGAACAGCAAAGUUCUCACAGAAAAGGGUAGGUCUGGGAUGUGUGAUGGAAGAUAUGUAGGAUUUUGUUAGGUAGAGAAGGGUAGAGGAGAUAGGCCGAAAAAACCAGCAAGAGCAAAACAGGCAGCGUUGGUCUGCAAGUGCACAUCAUGAAUGGGAAAGACACGCAAAGAGACUGUUGCAGCUGAAGCUUAUAAUACAUGGGCAAUGAUCCAGAGAUCACGUUGCAAAGUUGGGCUGUGAAAAAAAUUUCAUAUCAUGCCAAAGACAUUGGUUUGUAUGUUGCAUUUGUGAUGGGAGCCCUAGAAGUUGGUAAGCAGAAUAGAAACUAGUUAUUUUUUACUCAACUUGGAAUUCAAGAAUUCCAAGAAUUGGAUUAAGUAUAAUUAUGGGUUGAUGCUACACUUUCAAGAUUGUAGGCACAUGGCUUUCUUUCUCUUUCUUCAUUUAUUUCUUCUUUAAUUCCUUCCUUUCCUCUCUCCUCCUUUCUUUUUAUGUUAAUAGGUUUAGGUUUACAGAAAACUUAGCAGAAAGUACAAAGUUUCCAUGUGCCCUCCACCCAUUACUGCCCCUACCCUCUGCCAGUUUCCACACAUUUUGCAUUGGUGUGGAAAAUGUUACAAUUGAUGAGUCAAUAUUGAUACACUACUAUUAAAUAAAUCUAUGGUUUACAUUA
Long non-coding RNA from Herpailurus yagouaroundi (jaguarundi), 2176 nucleotides. RefSeq lists it as uncharacterized. The record is from RefSeq and is a predicted model, not a curated record. Lineage: Eukaryota; Metazoa; Chordata; Mammalia; Carnivora; Felidae. The transcript is spliced from 2 exons.